This 492-nucleotide ribosomal RNA is filed under the name uncultured bacterium. RNAcentral's name for it is "partial 16S ribosomal RNA". It matches the Rfam family "Bacterial small subunit ribosomal RNA", at positions 29 to 507 of the family's 1533-position model. The record is from RNAcentral.
AGUGAACGCUGGCGGUAGGCCUAACACAUGCAAGUCGAACGGCAGCACAGUAAGAGCUUGCUCUUACGGGUGGCGAGUGGCGGACGGGUGAGGAAUACAUCGGAAUCUACUUUUUCGUGGGGGAUAACGUAGGGAAACUUACGCUAAUACCGCAUACGACCUACGGGUGAAAGCAGGGGAUCUUCGGACCUUGCGCGAUUGAAUGAGCCGAUGUCGGAUUAGCUAGUUGGCGGGGUAAAGGCCCACCAAGGCGACGAUCCGUAGCUGGUCUGAGAGGAUGAUCUGCCACACUGGAACUGAGACACGGUCCAGACUCCUACGGGAGGCAGCAGUGGGGAAUAUUGGACAAUGGGCGCAAGCCUGAUCCAGCCAUACCGCGUGGGUGAAGAAGGCCUUCGGGUGGUAAAGCCCUUUUGUUGGGAAAGAAAAGCAGCAGGUUAAUACCCCGCUGUUCUGACGGUACCCAAAGAAUAAGCACCGGCUAACUUCGUG